AGAGAAUAGAUACCCGGGUAGUCCACGCCGUAAACGAUGAGAACUAGGUGUUGGGCAGCUUGUCUGCUUAGUGCCGUAGCUAACGCGUUAAGUUCUCCGCCUGGGGAGUACGGUCGCAAGAUUAAAAACUCAAAGGAAUUGACGGGGGCCCGCACAAGCGGUGGAGCAUGUGGUUUAAAUUCGAUGCAACGCGAAGAACCUUACCUACUCUUGACAUCCUGGGAAUCCUACGUAAUGGUGGGAGUGCCUUCGGGAACCCAGAGACAGGUGCUGCAUGGCUGUCGUCAGCUCGUGUCGUGAGAUGUUGGGUUAAGUCCCGUAACGAGCGCAACCCUUAUCCUUAGUUACUAACGGUUCGGCCGAGGACUCUAAGGAGACUGCCGGUGAUAAACCCGGAGGAAGGUGGGGAUGAUGUCAAGUCAUCAUGGCCCUUACGAGUAGGGCUACACACGUGCUACAAUGGGGCGUACAAAGAGUUGCCAACCCGCGAGGGGGUAGCCAACCUCAUAAACGCGCCUCGUAGUCCAGAUUGGAGUCUGCAACUCGACUCC
This 551-nucleotide ribosomal RNA is filed under the name uncultured bacterium. RNAcentral's name for it is "bacterial SSU rRNA". It matches the Rfam family "Bacterial small subunit ribosomal RNA", at positions 774 to 1319 of the family's 1533-position model. The record is from RNAcentral.